GCUUGGGUAGCUCAGUUGGUAGAGCACUUGCCCUCAAAAGGCAAAGACUCCGAGUUCGAGUCUCGGCCCGGUGCA
This 75-nucleotide transfer RNA is filed under the name Schistocerca americana (American grasshopper). RNAcentral describes it as "tRNA-Leu". It matches the Rfam family "tRNA". Rfam says of the family: Transfer RNA (tRNA) molecules are approximately 80 nucleotides in length. Their secondary structure includes four short double-helical elements and three loops (D, anti-codon, and T loops). RNAcentral also lists the same sequence under 1 other name. The record is from RNAcentral. Lineage: Eukaryota; Metazoa; Arthropoda; Insecta; Orthoptera; Acrididae.